AAUUUUUUUUAUUAUAUGUGUCUACAAUUAAUUGGGAUAGACCACCAACUCAGCCAAGUGACGCGUAUGGUACAAUAAUUUUUCUCCGCGAGGCACGUCCCUUCGAGGAUGGUAUUUUCUGGGCAUAGUUAGAGACACAGAAAAAGACACAGCAAAACCAGGUUUGGGAUUGGAAGUGUGGGGGGUAGGAGAGAGAGAACUGGGUCAUCGUUUGCCUUGCCGUUGAUUCGCGAUUUUUUUUUUUUUUAAUUGGUACAAUGACCUCAAUUUCAAUUUUUAAUUGACGUGGCCAAAUCUUGGCCGUUGGAUAAGAGGAGCCAGAUCCUUGACUCAGAUGGCAAGUCUUUAAAAGACUGGCACAGUAAUAACGCUACAGGUGAUUGAUGUCUUCGAGAGAAGUGUCUUCUUUUGAAUGAAACCCUAUACCAUAUUGUUGGAUGUGCGGCUGGUUGGGGGUAAUGGAAGUGGUUCCCAAAGAAAGAGAGCGAUUCAAGAGAAGAGAAGAGGCCUCGCAAAGGAAGAGAAAGAGAUUCAAGAGAAGAGAAGAGAAGAGCCUGAUUAUAGGUUUACAUUUUGGGAUGGGAGGAAUAGGAAAAAAAAAGUUAUUCUCAAAAUGUCAAACUUGACAAAGCUGGAAUUCGUGGUCUUGGAUAUUUCUGGCAAAAAUGAUUUAUUUUGGAUUUUGGAUGCUCAGAUCCAUUUAGAUGCCAUGGGCCUCGGAAACACAAUUAAAGAAGAGAAUGAUGCAUCAUUACAAGAUAAAGCAAAUGCCAUGAUUUUCCUUCGACGCCAUAUUAGUGAGGAGCUAAACAUUGAAUACCUCACUGAAAGAGAUUCACUUUGUUUGUGAAAAAAUUUGAAAGAAAGAUAUGAUCAUAAAAAACAGUUAUCCUCCCAAAGGCUCGGACUAACUGGCAGCAAUUGCGGUUGCAAGAUUUUAAAACUGCAGCUGAAUAUAACUCUGCUCUAUUUAAAAUCAGCUCUAUAUUGAAAUUGUGUGGUGAUACCACCACUGAUGAACUUUUAUUGGGAAAAACAUUCACCACAUUUUACGCCUCGAAUGUAUUCUUACAAUAAUAAUAUUGAGAGCGUACAUUUGAAAAAUAUUUAGAGUUGAUAUCAUGUUUACUUGUGGCAGAGCAAAAUAACGAGCUUUUGUUAAGAAACCACCAGUCUCGUCUAAUUGGAUUGACACCGAUCCCUAAAACAUAUGUUGCCUCAUUCCGUAGUCGUGGACGUCAAUCCCUGAAACAUAUGUUGCCUCAUUCCAUAGUCGUAGACGUGGUUGUGGUGGUAAAAAUGGCUAUAAUAAUGAAUAUGGUCGUGGUAAAAAAAACUACCACAAUAAUGAAUAUGGUCAUGGUAGAAAUCACUCCUAUUACCGUGAGUGUAUCAAUCCUCAAAUUUUCGCAAUCAGAGAUCUACACCAUAUCUCCAAAGGAGAGAUUAUAAAGAAAUGAAAUAAGUAAAAGGGAAAGAUGUGGCUUAACCUCCCAAGGUACAUGAUAAUACUUGUUAUCGGUGUGGAAUGAUAGGGCAUUGGCAAAGCAUUUGUCGUACACCUAAAUAUCUAGCUGAAUUUUACCGAGCCUCGAUGAAAGAAAAGGGGAAACAAAAAGAAAUGAAUUUUACUGAUCAUGUUGAGCCAGUUGACAUUACAAAUCUGGAUGUAUCAGAUUUUUUUGAGGAUCGUGAUGGAAAGAUAGACUUCCUGAUUGGUGAUGGAAAUGUCCACACCAAUUAAUCCUAUUUUGAUUUCAUAUUCUGUCUAUUAUGUUAUUUUCAACAAGUUUUUAUUUUUCUUAUAUUAAAAUUUUUAUUUUCUAGUUUAUAUUAAAGUUUCUUUUGUUAUAAAUGUUUCUUUUCUAAUAAAGAAAUUUGCAUGAAUAUGAAUGGAUCUGACUAGUUCUAAAAUAAAUUGUGAAGAUAUAUGUCUUGCAGAUAGUGGAAGACACACACAAUCAUUUGAGAUCAAAAAUAAUUUUUUCACCUAAUUUUGACAGACACUAGUGUCAGUACAAUAUCAGGUCCCACCGACUUGAUUGAAGGUUCCGUACGAACCAACAUCAUUUUACCACAUGGAACAAGAUUACAAAUCAAUGAUGCCUUAUAUUCUACAAGAUUUCGGAGAAAUCUGUUGAGUUUUUGAAGACUUGCGUCGUAAUGGGUAUCAUAUUGAGACCGCAAAUGAAAGAAAUGUGGAAUAUCUUUACAUUGCUUUCAUUACCUCAUGUAAGAAGCUGAUACUACAAAAACUCCCUAUUUUCUUUUCCCUGUUAUACUAUACAACUAUUAGGACAAUUGAGUCAAAUGUUGUGAUACAUAAACAAUUUUGUGACUCAAAACUUUUUAUGCUUUGGCAUGAUUGACUUGGUCACUUGGGGAGUAUAAUAAUGCGUCGAAUUAUUGAAAAUUCACAUGGACACCAACUAAAGGAUCAAAAAUCAUCUUACUAAAUAAUCAUCUAUGCAUCGCAUGCUCAAAAGGUAAGUUGAUUAUUAGACCAUUCCCUUCAAAAGUCAUUGUUGAAUCUCCUCCAUUUUUACAACGAAUUAAUGGGGAUAUAUGUGGGCCAAUUCAUCCACCUUGUGGACCAUUUUGCUAUUUUAUGGUCUUAAUUGAUGCCUCAACACGAUGGUCACAUGUUUGUCUACUUUUUAUUCGUAAUGUUGUAUUUGCUAAGUUUACUUUCUACUCGUAAUGUUGUAUUUGCUAGACUUCUUGUUCAAAUCAUCAAAUUACGGGCAUACUUUCCUGAUUACUCAAUUAAGACAAUCCGUCUUGAUAAUGCCGCUGAAUUGUCUUCUCAAGCUUUUGAUGACUAUUGUAUGUCAGUUGGAAUUAAUGUUGAACAUCCUGUUGCACAUACUCAUACUCAAAAUGGUAUGGCCGAAUGACAAUCCGUCUUGAUAAUGCUGCUAAAUUUUCUUCUCAAGCUUUUGAUGACUAUUGCGUGUCAGUUGGAAUUAAUGUUGAACAUCCUGUUGCACAUACUCAUACUCAAAAUGGUAUGGCCGAAUCUUUUAUUAAAAGAUUUCAGUUAAUUGGUCGUCCUUUACUUAUGCGAACAAAAUUAUCUGUUUCUACCUGGAGCCAUGUCAUAUUACAUGCUGUAUUAUUAGUUCGUAUAUGACCAACUGCUUAUCAUAAGUACUCACCAUUGCAAUUUGUUUUUGGUCAACAAUCAAAUAUCUCACAUAUGAGUUUUUGGUUGUGCUGUAUAUGUUCCAAUUGCACUACCCCAACGCACUAAAAUGGGUCCUCAACGUAAACUUGGAAUUUAUGUUUGCUUCUCCAUUUAUUAUUAGAUAUCGUGAACCUCAGGUGAUGUCUUUAAAGUACGAUUUGAUGACUGUCAUUUUGAUAAGGUUGUUUUCUUACCAUUAGGGGGAGGAAAGGCAUAACAGUAACAUAAUAUUACUUGGAAUGUCUUGGAAUUUUCUCAUUUUGAUUCUCGCACAAAUCAAUGUGAACGAGAAGUUCAAAAGAUCAUUCACUUGCAAAAGGUUGCAAAUUAAUUACCUGAUGCAUUUACUGAUACAAAGAAAGUAAUAAAAUCACAUCUACCAGCUGCAAAUAUUCCAGCACGAAUUGCUGUCCCUAGGGGACUUUCUAGCAGUAAUGUAGCAAAUGCAUCUAAAACAAGUCUGAAGCGUGGUAGACCAGUCGGUGCAAAAGAUACUGCUACUCAUAAGAGAAAAUCAUAAAAAAAAAAUUGGCAUUCCUGAAGAGGCCACAAAAGGAGCAAUAGAUAUUAUUGAUCAAUCUGAGAUAAUAGUCUUUGAUAAGACAUAAGCUCUUGAUAAGGCCCAGAUACUUAAAAAUGAUGAAAUUAUAAAUAUUGAUGAGGCAAAGGCAACAAAUGAUGAUAUGACACUUGAUAAGGCACAUGCUCUUGAUGAGGCAAAGGUGCCUGAAAAUGAUGAGAUCUAACUAAAUUAUGGAACAAGAUGGAAUAGAAAUGAAAUUGUUAUUGACAACAUAUUCUCAUAUGUCGUUCAUCUUGAUAUUGAUAAUGAGAAUCUGGGACUUCAAAACGUCGAAGAAUGUCGACGAAGGAAUGAUUGACCAAAAUGGAAAUAAGCGAUACAAGUAGAGCUAAAUUAAUUAGCUAAACGUGAAGUAUUUGGACCUGUAGUCCAGACACCUGAGGGUGUUAAUCCUGUUGGGUACAAAUGAGUAUUUGUACGAAAACGUAAUGAGAAAAAUGAAAUCGUGAGAUACACAGCCCGACUGGUAGCUCAAGGUUUCUCAUAGAGACCUGGUAUUGAUUAUGAGGAAACAUACUCCCUUGUGAUCGAUGCACCCACAUUUAGAUUCAUAAUACAUUUGGCAGUCACACAAAGAUUGCAUAUGCAUCUAAUGGACGUGGUUACAGCAAAUUUUUAUGGAUCACUAGAUAGUGAUAUUUAUAUGAAAAUCCCAGAAGGAUUUAAAAUAUCUGAAACAAAACUACGUAAUAUGUACUCAAUAAAAUUACAACGAUUCUUAUAUGGAUUGAAGCAGUCUGGACGAAUGUGGUACAAUCGCUUUAACGAUUAUUUACUCAUAGAAGGGUAUGUGAACAAUCAUCUUUGUUCAUGCAUUUUUUUUUUAACAAAUCAGAAUCUGGUUUUGUUAUUGUUGCAGUAUAUGUUGAUGAUCUGAAUCUUGUGGGAACAUUAGACGAGAUUGAAAAGACGUCCACUUAUUUAAAGUCUAUCAAUCAACAUAUACAGAAAAGAUCCUGAAACGUUUUUAUAUGGAUAAAGCCUGGGAAUGCAUCAACUAAAGGAUCUUCAGGAUUGAAUUAAUGAGGGGGAGCAAUUGAUCGAAAAGGUAUUGACAUACUGUACUCUUUUUCCUUCGUCCAGGUUUUGUCCCAAUGGUUUUCCUGGCAAGGUUUUAAUGAGGCAAUUUUAAUUUAUGCAAUACCAUUUUCAGAUACACAAGAAUACUUUACUCUUUUUCCUUUGCUAUGGUUUUGCUCCACUGUGUUUUUCUUAGCAAAGUUUUAACGAGGUAUAUUCUUAGUGUAGUAUUGUAGACUCUAAAGAGGAGUGUUAUGUAUAUAUAUAAUUGUGUGGGGUCCCUAAAUGGAUUAAGUCAUCCAUGAGGUCACGUUUUGCGGGGAGAAUAAGACCACAAUUGUGGUUUAUAAGGGAAGCUACAUUAUGAGCCUAUAAAGGUCAUGUGUAUGUAUUGCCUUGAUAUACACUUGAAUGAAAAGCUAUUUCAUUUCUCUCUCUCUCUGUGGAAGUUUUUUUCAUUUCUCUCAUUUAAUGUUACUCUCUUUCUCUUUCUCUAUAUAUAUAUAUCGAGUUAUUCUUACCUGUUAGCUUGCAUGAGCACCUAAACCACACAUGGACAUGGUUAAAUUACAAGAAGUUGUUGCACAUAAGAAGCUCCAACUCAGGGUACAAACGGCUUAUUGCAGGUUAGAAGCUUUAAAAUGACUAAAGUGGAAGUAAGUUAUGCAGACACGUGCACCAUGGUCAAUUGGACACAUUGUGUGUUAACAUUUGAAAUAAAAUUGUACAUUUUUCAAAUGGUGUACGGGUUUAAUUGUUAAUAAAUUAAGGCCAAAAUUGGCCAUGAAUGGUCACAAGAGGCUGAACAUGAAGACUGGCCUAAGUAAAUACAAUUCUACAAAAAAUUGGUAUGAACCCAUUUUCAUAAAGUUAGACGGCAGUUGUUAAUACCUAAAUUAUAAUUGAAAAUUAUCAUGCCACGUGGACGAAGAUCCCGGGGUCCGGACUCUGGAUCAACCCAUGAUCGUUGGGGCAAAAGAUUAAUUUCUAAUCAUGUUGAUCGAAAUUUAAGGCCGAUAAUUAGGGAGAAUGGAAUUCUUAGGUUCAGAUAAGAUAUUGGGGUCAUAGCCCAAAGAGAGACUCUCGGUCAGUAUGAGCUAAGAAAGUCUCGACUAUCACGGCCUAAGAUUCUCGAUCACUAUGACCUAAGAAAGUUCCCCAAUCACUAUGACCUUAGACUUUCAGUCAAGUAUGAUUAACGCCAGGGUCCCUCGAUCAAGUCAUGGCCUAAGGCAUUAUGACCUGGGAAAACUAAUCGGCUAUAAUAAUGAGUCUCGGUCACCAUGGCCUAAGUCUCUCUAUGACCUAAGAGAGUCUCUCGACCAUUAGGGGCUAGAAGUCUCGACCAGACAUGGUCAAGAGUCUCGAUUAGUAUGACCAAGGAGGUCUCAACUAAUGGCCUAAGAGUCUCGAUCACUAUGGCCUAGGAGUUUCAGCCAACCAUGGUGGCUUUCGAGUCUCAACCAUGACUAAGAAGAAAAUUUAUUUCUGACCAUGGUCAUGAGCCUUGACCAUGAUUGAGGAAACUUUAUUUUUGACCAAAAUAAUCAAACUUUAGUCAUAGUCAAGGCCAAAGGGACUUCUCAAUCACAAAUCAAACCAUAGUCAAGAAUGACAUGUUGACAGUACUUAUCAUGAAUAUGCCUAAAUGUUGGACCAGUUUAGGCCAAGAUGGAUUCGAUAUCCUCUUAGGUCAUGAGCACUUAAAGAAGAUUAUUUCGGAGAUCUUACCAAGCUCGAACAAAUUGGUUCCGUUUGAGAAUAUCAGAGCCAAUUUGAGAGGCUGCUGGGAAGAGCGAGAAAAGUGUUCUCAUUUCAGCAAGUGAGUUGUUUCGUCAGUGGCCUUAAAGAUGAUAUUCGGCUAGAUGUCCAAGCUGCUCAACCAAACAACCUUUCAGCUGCGGUUGGGUUGGCACAUCUUUAUGAGGCGAAAUUGUAAGCCCAAUAAAAAGUUUUCCAAACAGAUUCAAAGAAGCCAAAAAUGGAACAAUCAUCAAACUACCAGAUUAAUGUUCCAACCAACAUCAAGAAGCUCACACAAGCAUAAAUCAAUGAGAGACGCACAAAAGCUGCAAAAGGAUUUUUCUUAUUCAAGGAUGUUUGCCUGAGGAAGUUGAGAGGUAUGAAGAUAUUAAAGACAUGCAAAACAGAUUUUCAGAACUUGGCCUCGAGGACAAGACCAAAUCUUAGAGGGACGGAAUUGUUACAUGUUAAGUGGAGAUUUUAGUGGGUAGUUAUCAGUAGUCAUGUGUUUAACUAUUUUGUAGGUGAAGUGGGGUAGUUAUUUAGAAGUGGAAUGGACAUUUAUGUGGUACUUAUGAGCUUUACUAUAUUGUAGGAGAUUUUGGUAGUUUUAUUAUUGUAUAAAGUAUUAUAAAUAGGAGUUCUACUACAAAUGAGGGGGGAAGUUGUGAUCAUAGUAGAUCUUGGAGGUUGGUUUCUCUUGAAGUAAACCAUCUAUAAUCUUGGAGGCUGGUUUCCCUCGAAGUAAACCAUCUAUGUAAUAUUAUAUUUCUUUUCCUUUAUAGCUGCUUCUAUUUCCCUAUUCAAAAUAGGUAAACACAAGAACAAGUUCCUUCCAUUAAACCCUUUAUUACUAGAAAAUAGACCUAUUACUCCUUUGUCGAAGGAACGCAACACAAACAGCCUAGUGAAGUCCGUGAUUUUGUGAGUUUUAGUUUUAUUUUGAUUCUUAUGAUUUAUUGUUCAUGGACUGAUCUGGUCUCAUUUUUUUGUUUAUUGUCAAAAUAAUAAUAAUAAUAAUAAUAAUGAAUUUUAUUCAUUUAAAAUUGUAUUUUACUUGAAAGGAACGCACAAACAAGCGUGGUUUUGUGACCACGAGGGAUUGGGAUAUGGAUAGGGACAUUUUCAUGGUGAGAGAUAAGCUUGUUCUUACUGUGCAAAUUCAAAACUUUUAUGCGGGUCUUGUGGAUGAUAUAUAUGGUGAUUUUGAAGAGAUGGAGAUUAACCAGGAUUAUGUCAGGCUUGGCCGCUUAGAGCUAUGUUUGUGAGACAUGGUAUUGAUGUUACUAGUGAUUUUCGUUUCUACUGGAUGACGGGUACUUAUUAUUGUUUUUGGGUUAUUUUAAAUUUUGUAGUACUUGGUUUUGUUUGAUUUUAAUGUAUUAAUAUGUUUUGUUUUUUAAUUUUAGGAAUUAAAAAUGUUUAUACCUAUACGUGUUGUAUUUCUCACGUCAAAACAAAAAGUGGACUUAUACAUGCACUGUUAUACCAAUCCAUGGCGGGAAGGGCAACGUAACGAAAUUUGAAAUUACAUUGACUAUCAAAUUAAUUGGUAUUUCCCAGAUUGGCGAUGAAGAGUACCAAUUAAUUCAAUGUUUGAAGAAGCACUCUUUCACCCCAAUCACCCACCACCGUCCCAUGCUUCGUGGAAAGAGAGAACAAAAGCUAUGCAAGCUUAUGCCCGUGGCCGCGGCUUGCUUGUGAUUUUGAGGGACUAUCGAUGUCAUCUGUAUGGUAUGGUUAUAGGAAUAUCUGAGACUAGGAGUGCCUCGGCAAUUCCACGACUACGGCUAUAUCACACUUGAGACACUGGAUAACUGGAUCAGCAGUAUGUUUCCAAGUGUAAUUAUUGGAGCAAUGUAUCUUGUAAUUAUUGGAGCAAUGUAUCUUGUAGCAGUGUAUCUUGCUUUUGAUAUUUUUAUGUUGAUGUUAUUUUGCUAUUGUGGGAGUAUCUAACGAAAUUUGAAAUAACAUUGUAUUUCCUGGAUUGGCGUUCAAGAGUA
RNA transcript from Cornus florida, 8536 nucleotides. RefSeq lists it as uncharacterized. The transcript has 3 exons. NCBI's taxonomy places the organism in Eukaryota, Viridiplantae, Streptophyta, Magnoliopsida, Cornales, Cornaceae. The record is from RefSeq and is a predicted model, not a curated record.